RNAcentral lists this long non-coding RNA (1518 nucleotides) under Triticum aestivum (bread wheat). RNAcentral describes it as "long non-coding RNA (TAES_LNC000467)". The record is from RNAcentral. Lineage: Eukaryota; Viridiplantae; Streptophyta; Magnoliopsida; Poales; Poaceae.
AGAUGGGGGCUGGGGACGAGCUCACGGAUCAGCAGGCCAGACAGCUCAAUUUUGAUCUGGAAUCAGCCUAUAGUGCGUUUAUGGCCUCGCUUCCCACUGCUGGCCUGUGAACGAUGAUCGGCUUGGUUCAGAGUUGCUUCUUCUUUCUGUUUUGUCAUGCUCUUGUCUUGCAAUGGUAUACAUAUGUGUAAUUUGGCUCAAGCUAUAUCGUUUGUCGACAACAAUGCCAAUCUUAUGGAAAGUUGCCCCCUACAGAUCGAUUCUUUCAUACUGAUUAUAGGGACCCUUGAUUGUAUUCAGCGUACAGUGUGUUUAUGGCCUCGCUUCCACUGCUGUUUGUGAUCAAAGGAUUGGUUUUGUUCUGAUCUGUUUCUACUUUGUUACGAUGUUGUCUUUUGAUCACUACUGUGGGUGCUAUAUAUGUAUAAUUUGGAUUGCGUUCUAUUCUUUGCCAAUAACAGAGUGGAUUUUACGAAGAAUCCCCAGAUGGAUUCUUUUGCAUAAUUAUUAUAUGUGGUGUGAUGUUUCUCCGUGAUGUCCAUCAAUGGUAGAAUGCUUGCCUUUGUCCUUUCUAUUGGAUAUGUUUCUUCUCGGUCAAUAAUAUGGAGCAAUAAGUGUCAAUUUAUAUUUUACUGUCCUGUUGAUAUUAGAUCUUUCAGUUUGCAAGAACAAUCUCGUUUUAAUCUAGGGCAGUUGGAGCUGAUUGCAUUGGUGUUUUCGCUUUGUGCACUUGCUUAUCCUGGACUGGUCCAAAGAUACAUGGCUGUUCAGUUAUGAAAAUACAAGUCAUGAUGUGUCUACACUUGGAUUUAACCAAAUUGUAUCAUUGAUUUGAUAGUUUUGUACGUAUAGUGUAUUCCAACUGUGUACUUCUCGAUAUCAAUAAUGGUUUUGUAAGUUUUGCUUCUGAAUUGUUCCUUUCUUUGUACUCUGUGGUCAUUGGAUCACUACUGCAGUGCCAUCCAUAUGUGUAAUUUGGAUUAUACUCUCUUGUUUGUCAAUGAUAAAAAUGCAUUUUUUGGGUGGAAAGUUGACUCUUAUCGAUGGAUUCUGUUGCAUAUUGGCUAUAUACGGUACAAUUGUACAAUGUUCGUUUGUGAUGUCCAUUCAAUGUAGAACACUUCUUCCUUAGGAAAUGAUAACUACUAUUCCCUCUGUAACUUAAUAUAAGUCAUUUUUUGACACUAUCAUGGACUCUAAAAACGUCUUAUAAAAAGUUACAGAGGGGGUAGAACAUAUGCCUGUAAUGCAGGUUAUUUCUCUUAACAUGCAUAUUCCUUAGACUGCUGGCCUGUGAACAAUGAUCGGCUUGGUUCAGAGUUGGUUCUUCUUUUCUGUUUUGUCAUGCUCGUGUCUUGCAAUGGUAUACAUAUGUGUAAUUUGGCUCAAGCUAUAUCGUUUGUGGACAACAAUGCCAAUCUUAUGGAAAAUUGCCCCCCUACAGAUCGAUUGUUUCAUACUGAUUAUAGGGACCCUUGAUUGUAUUCAGCGUACAGUGUGUUUAUGGCCUCGCUUCCA